This 253-nucleotide ribosomal RNA is filed under the name uncultured bacterium. RNAcentral's name for it is "partial 16S ribosomal RNA". It matches the Rfam family "Bacterial small subunit ribosomal RNA", at positions 524 to 776 of the family's 1533-position model. The record is from RNAcentral.
UACAGAGGUGGCAAGCGUUGUUCGGAAUUACUGGGCGUAAAGGGCGCGUAGGCGGCCAUCUAAGUCAGACGUGAAAUCCCCCGGCUUAACCUGGGAACUGCGUCUGAUACUGGAAGGCUCGAGUUUGGGAGAGGGAUGUGGAAUUCCAGGUGUAGCGGUGAAAUGCGUAGAUAUCUGGAGGAACACCGGUGGCGAAGGCGGCAUCCUGGACCAACACUGACGCUGAGGCGCGAAAGCGUGGGGAGCAAACAGG